This 220-nucleotide long non-coding RNA is filed under the name Hordeum vulgare. Its description in RNAcentral is "long non-coding RNA (HVUL_LNC015269)". Lineage: Eukaryota; Viridiplantae; Streptophyta; Magnoliopsida; Poales; Poaceae. The record is from RNAcentral.
CACGAGUGAUGCGAGGUUGAUUAAAUAAUCAAGACCGGUUAAGACAAGAUUUUCAAGACCUCGUACGCAAUGCAACUCUGGGUGAAGGACGGUUGAUCGGCUCCCUGGAGAACCGAGUGGAUGACCCGGGAUGCUGGAGAGGCCAUGACAUCCUGCGGAAAGCUUCACCCAGGCUCAAAGAGACGGACGGAUAUUUUCAAGACCCAAGGCUUACCUGCAC